RNAcentral lists this transfer RNA (88 nucleotides) under Cordylochernes scorpioides. RNAcentral's name for it is "tRNA-His". Lineage: Eukaryota; Metazoa; Arthropoda; Arachnida; Pseudoscorpiones; Chernetidae. The record is from RNAcentral.
UUCCUCGAGCCGGAUUUGAAACAGCGACCUAAGGAUCACCGUUGUAACAUCCACAGUCCUCCGCUCUGCCAACUGAGCUAUCGAGGGA